ACGUCAAGUCAUCAUGGCCCUUAUGUCCAGGGCGACACACGUGCUACAAUGGCCGGCACAACGGGAAGCGAGUUCGCGAGGACGAGCGGAUCCCUUAAAGACCGGUCGCAGUUCGGAUUGAAGUCUGCAACUCGACUUCAUGAAGCUGGAAUCGCUAGUAAUCGUGGAUCAGCCAAGCCGCGGUGAAUACGUUCCCGGGCCUU
Molecule: ribosomal RNA, 203 nt
Filed under: uncultured Synergistaceae bacterium
Lineage: Bacteria; Thermotogati; Synergistota; Synergistia; Synergistales; Synergistaceae
Description: partial 16S ribosomal RNA
Rfam family: Bacterial small subunit ribosomal RNA
Source: RNAcentral